GAUGAACGCUGGCGGCGUGCCUAUACAUGCAAGUCGAGCGAACGGACGAGAAGCUUGCUUCUCUGAUGUUAGCGGCGGACGGGUGAGUAACACGUGGAUAACCUACCUAUAAGACUGGGAUAACUUCGGGAAACCGGAGCUAAUACCGGAUAAUAUUUUGAACCGCAUGGUUCAAAAGUGAAAGACGGUCUUGCUGUCACUUAUAGAUGGAUCCGCGCUGCAUUAGCUAGUUGGUAAGGUAACGGCUUACCAAGGCAACGAUGCAUAGCCGACCUGAGAGGGUGAUCGGCCACACUGGAACUGAGACACGGUCCAGACUCCUACGGGAGGCAGCAGUAGGGAAUCUUCCGCAAUGGGCGAAAGCCUGACGGAGCAACGCCGCGUGAGUGAUGAAGGUCUUCGGAUCGUAAAACUCUGUUAUUAGGGAAGAACAUAUGUGUAAGUAACUGUGCACAUCUUGACGGUACCUAAUCAGAAAGCCACGGCUAACUACGUGCCAGCAGCCGCGGUAAUACGUAGGUGGCAAGCGUUAUCCGGAAUUAUUGGGCGUAAAGCGCGCGUAGGCGGUUUUUUAAGUCUGAUGUGAAAGCCCACGGCUCAACCGUGGAGGGUCAUUGGAAACUGGAAAACUUGAGUGCAGAAGAGGAAAGUGGAAUUCCAUGUGUAGCGGUGAAAUGCGCAGAGAUAUGGAGGAACACCAGUGGCGAAGGCGACUUUCUGGUCUGUAACUGACGCUGAUGUGCGAAAGCGUGGGGAUCAAACAGGAUUAGAUACCCUGGUAGUCCACGCCGUAAACGAUGAGUGCUAAGUGUUAGGGGGUUUCCGCCCCUUAGUGCUGCAGCUAACGCAUUAAGCACUCCGCCUGGGGAGUACGACCGCAAGGUUGAAACUCAAAGGAAUUGACGGGGACCCGCACAAGCGGUGGAGCAUGUGGUUUAAUUCGAAGCAACGCGAAGAACCUUACCAAAUCUUGACAUCCUUUGACAACUCUAGAGAUAGAGCCUUCCCCUUCGGGGGACAAAGUGACAGGUGGUGCAUGGUUGUCGUCAGCUCGUGUCGUGAGAUGUUGGGUUAAGUCCCGCAACGAGCGCAACCCUUAAGCUUAGUUGCCAUCAUUAAGUUGGGCACUCUAAGUUGACUGCCGGUGACAAACCGGAGGAAGGUGGGGAUGACGUCAAAUCAUCAUGCCCCUUAUGAUUUGGGCUACACACGUGCUACAAUGGACAAUACAAAGGGCAGCGAAACCGCGAGGUCAAGCAAAUCCCAUAAAGUUGUUCUCAGUUCGGAUUGUAGUCUGCAACUCGACUACAUGAAGCUGGAAUCGCUAGUAAUCGUAGAUCAGCAUGCUACGGUGAAUACGUUCCCGGGUCU
RNAcentral lists this ribosomal RNA (1371 nucleotides) under uncultured bacterium. RNAcentral describes it as "bacterial SSU rRNA". It matches the Rfam family "Bacterial small subunit ribosomal RNA", at positions 28 to 1381 of the family's 1533-position model. The record is from RNAcentral.